GUUAGGAAUAUUGGACAAUGGGCGCAAGCCUGAUCCAGCCAUGCCGCGUGAGUGAUGAAGGCCUUCGGGUUGUAAAGCUCUUUAGCCGAUGAUUAUAAUGACUGUAGUCGGAAAAUAAGCCCCGGCUAACUUCGUGCCAGCAGCCGCGGUAAUACGAAGGGGGCGAGCGUUAUUCGGAAUCACUGGGCGUAAAGCGUGCGUAGGCGGCUUUGCAAGUUGGGAGUGAAAGCCCAGGGCUCAACCCUGGAAUUGCUCUCAAAACUGCAAGGCUCGAAUUCGGGAGAGGAUAGCGGAAUUGUCAGUGUAGCAGUGAAAUGCGUAGAUAUUGACAGGAACACCAGUGGCGUAAGCGGCUAUCUGGACCGAUAUUGACACUGAGGCACGAAAGCGUGGGGAUCAAACAGGAUUAGAAACCCUGGUAGUCC
RNAcentral lists this ribosomal RNA (425 nucleotides) under uncultured bacterium. Its description in RNAcentral is "partial 16S ribosomal RNA". It matches the Rfam family "Bacterial small subunit ribosomal RNA", at positions 354 to 796 of the family's 1533-position model. The record is from RNAcentral.